UAUGGUAAAUGUCAUUAACGUUUUGAUGA
Molecule: non-coding RNA, 29 nt
Filed under: Rattus norvegicus (Norway rat)
Lineage: Eukaryota; Metazoa; Chordata; Mammalia; Rodentia; Muridae
Source: RNAcentral